RNAcentral lists this ribosomal RNA (239 nucleotides) under uncultured bacterium. RNAcentral describes it as "partial 16S ribosomal RNA". It matches the Rfam family "Bacterial small subunit ribosomal RNA", at positions 14 to 235 of the family's 1533-position model. The record is from RNAcentral.
UGAUCAUGGCUCAGGAUGAACGCUGGCGGCGUGCUUAACACAUGCAAGUCGAGCGAAGCAAUUUAAGUGAAGUUUUCGGAUGGAUCUUAGAUUGACUGAGCGGCGGACGGGUGAGUAACGCGUGGAUAACCUGCCUCACACAGGGGGAUAACAGUUAGAAAUGACUGCUAAUACCGCAUAAGCGCACAGUACCGCAUGGUACGGUGUGAAAAACUCCGGUGGUAUGGGAUGGACCCGCG